Molecule: ribosomal RNA, 495 nt
Filed under: uncultured bacterium
Lineage: Bacteria
Description: partial 16S ribosomal RNA
Rfam family: Bacterial small subunit ribosomal RNA
Source: RNAcentral
GACGAACGCUGGCGGCGUGCCUAAUACAUGCAAGUAGAACGCUGAAGGAGGAGCUUGCUUCUCUGGAUGAGUUGCGAACGGGUGAGUAACGCGUAGGUAACCUGCCUGGUAGCGGGGGAUAACUAUUGGAAACGAUAGCUAAUACCGCAUAAGAGUAGAUGUUGCAUGACAUUUGCUUAAAAGGUGCAAUUGCAUCACUACCAGAUGGACCUGCGUUGUAUUAGCUAGUUGGUGGGGUAACGGCUCACCAAGGCGACGAUACAUAGCCGACCUGAGAGGGGGAUCGGACACACUGGGACUGAGACACGGCCCAGACUCCUACGGGAGGCAGCAGUAGGGAAUCUUCGGCAAUGGACGGAAGUCUGACCGAGCAACGCCGCGUGAGUGAAGAAGGUUUUCGGAUCGUAAAGCUCUGUUGUAAGAGAAGAACGAGUGUGAGAGUGGAAAGUUCACACUGUGACGGUAUCUUACCAGAAAGGGACGGCUAACUACGUG